RNAcentral lists this ribosomal RNA (429 nucleotides) under Chloroflexota bacterium. Its description in RNAcentral is "Chloroflexi bacterium partial 16S ribosomal RNA". It matches the Rfam family "Bacterial small subunit ribosomal RNA", at positions 355 to 776 of the family's 1533-position model. Lineage: Bacteria; Bacillati; Chloroflexota. The record is from RNAcentral.
UGGGGAAUAUUGCACAAUUGGCGCAAGCCUGAUGCAGCCCUGCCGCGUGUAUGAAGAAGGCCUUCGGGUUGUAAAGUACUUUCAGUCGGGAGGAAGGUGUCAAGGUUAAUAACCUUGGCAAUUGACGUUACCGACAGAAGAAGCACCGGCUAACUCCGUGCCAGCAGCCGCGGUAAUACGGAGGGUGCAAGCGUUAAUCGGAAUUACUGGGCGUAAAGCGCACGCAGGCGGUUGAUUGAGUCAGAUGUUAAAUCCCCGGGCUUAACCCGGGAAUUGCAUCUGAUACUGGUCAGCUGGAGUCUUGUGGAGGGGGGUAGAAUUCCAUGUGUAGCGGUGAAAUGCGUAGGGAUGUGGGGGAAUACCGGUGGCGAAGGCGGCCCCCUGGACAAAGACUGACGCUCAGGUGCGAAAGCGUGGGGAGCAAACAGG